GAGGAGUAUGUCACCACCAGGCACUGAGAGGGCCCAGAGAAUGGUGCCAAUGAGGGGAGGAAGAAACAGAAAUAAGAGAGUCUGAAGAUGCUGUUUUGAUGAGCUCACAGAUUUGCCCAUGACCAGCCCUGGAACCGCACUCGGGGACGACUGGGUUUAGAACCUGGACUGAAAGGAUCAAGAAAGCAAAGUAAAUUGUCCACAGCAUGGAGGCUGGAGCUAUACAACUUGGAUCCAAAUUUCUAUUCAGUUGUCUCUUGACUGUGUGACUUGGGAAGUCCUUCUGUAAAGAAGAGUUGAAGGCUGAAGCCCACGCUUACUCAAUAUGGGGCAUGCUUGCCAGCUCCGUCUUGUCAGUUAUCUCUUGGUGGAUGAUGGGAGGAGGGAAGUGACUCUCAAGAGACAACUAAAAUGGUGCUUUAAGAAAUCCUCAGCCAAUAAAAAGUUGCUUACAGAGGUAUAAGUCUUCUCUCUGUGUCAGCUUUCUUAACCUCCUAAUCUCAACUGUCUAAUUAUGAAUUUACAAGACCCGGGGGACAGCUGUCUUAAGUACCCUGAGAAGAAUGGUCGCGCUCUGUGUGAGCUAAAAUACCCAAGGCUGGGAGCAAGAAA
This is a long non-coding RNA of Bubalus bubalis (water buffalo), 612 nucleotides long. RefSeq lists it as uncharacterized. Lineage: Eukaryota; Metazoa; Chordata; Mammalia; Artiodactyla; Bovidae. The record is from RefSeq and is a predicted model, not a curated record. The transcript has 3 exons.